Molecule: ribosomal RNA, 254 nt
Filed under: uncultured bacterium
Lineage: Bacteria
Description: partial 16S ribosomal RNA
Rfam family: Bacterial small subunit ribosomal RNA
Source: RNAcentral
CACGUAGGGUGCGAGCGUUGUCCGGAAUUAUUGGGCGUAAAGAGCUCGUAGGCGGUGUGUCGCGUCGGCCGUGAAAACCUGCAGCUUAACUGUGGGCUUGCGGUCGGUACGGGCAUCACUGGAGUUCGGCAGGGGAGACUGGAAUUCCUGGUGUAGCGGUGAAAUGCGCAGAUAUCAGGAAGAACACCAAUGGCGAAAGCAGCUCUCUGGGACGGUACUGACGCUGAGACGCGAAAGCGUGGGGAGCGAACAGG